UUCCUAGUCCAUUAAUACAUUAAGUAGAACCUAUCUUAGCCGUUGGAUUACAUCUAAUGGAUGAGAUUCAAUCUUCAUUUUAAAACCUAAUCAGAUAACUAUCCCUUCAAAACAACCGUUUCUUACCACAUCCAUUAUCAGAAAAAUUCCAAAGAGUUUCAACACAAAAACAGAAGAGGUUUCACCAUUUCGGGCAUGACCUUCUCAUGCUAAUAAUGCUCUUUUUUAUUCAAGCUUAAAUUCUGAUUGGCGAGUUUAAACUCGAUUUUCUUUAUAAUUUUUUCUUUCGCCAUUUUAGUGUAAGAGCUUUAAUUGAUUUUGUCUUCUUCCAUCUUUUUUCUGAUCUUGUUACUGGUGAGUCCUUACAAAACUCUCAAACGUUCGGAUUUUGAACUGAGAUUUGACCAAGAUUUGGAUCAAAUCCCGCCCAAUACUUUGAAUCCUAGCAAACCCUAAUUUGUAUCUACAAAUACUAGCAUUUGGAGUCCAUUUGGACUAGGUUUUUCAGCCGUCCCAACCUUUGAGCCGCCGCCUCUCCCCCUCCAAACCUCCAAAAUACUCUGUUCGAUACUAUGUAUCUUUUAAAAUACUACCUUUAAAAAAAUCACAUUUUUCCUUCUGAUAUCUCUGUUGGUUUUUAACCGCGGAGGAGAGUUACUUAGCUUUUAAUUGUGUCAUGUUGUUUGUGAGGAAGGCCAGAGUACGUAGGAUCUAAAAGACCCCUGCCCCAUUCGCUGCACCCAUAAAAGAAGAAGACAAAGAUGGUGCAAUAUUAUGAGAUGGUGUUGCUGGGAUGCAUACAUGGACUUCAAGAUUGCAUGGAUAAUCUGCUAUAUCAUUAGUUAUUUAUUUACAAGUUUUAGAUCAUUUCUAGCAUAUUGUAGUAUCAGCCUUGGAUAUUUAUAUCCUAAGUUGAUCACUAGGUUUAUUUCUUGCUUUUUAUUAGCCAAUUUGGCUACAUUUGUAAAGACACUUUGCUCCUUUUGUUUUGAGAAAAAUAUAUAAAAUCAGCCCUAGGCCAAAAGCCUAGUGGACAUUAUUUUUUU
Molecule: long non-coding RNA, 1046 nt
Organism: Lycium ferocissimum
Lineage: Eukaryota; Viridiplantae; Streptophyta; Magnoliopsida; Solanales; Solanaceae
Exons: 2
Source: RefSeq, a predicted model, not a curated record